RNAcentral lists this ribosomal RNA (495 nucleotides) under uncultured bacterium. RNAcentral describes it as "partial 16S ribosomal RNA". It matches the Rfam family "Bacterial small subunit ribosomal RNA", at positions 28 to 507 of the family's 1533-position model. The record is from RNAcentral.
GACGAACGCUGGCGGCGUGCCUAAUACAUGCAAGUCGAACGCUGAAGGAGGAGCUUGCUCUUCUGGAUGAGUUGCGAACGGGUGAGUAACGCGUAGGUAACCUGCCUGGUAGCGGGGGAUAACUAUUGGAAACGAUAGCUAAUACCGCAUAACAGUAGAUGUUGCAUGACAUUUGCUUAAAAGGUGCAAUUGCACCACUACCAGAUGGACCUGCGUUGUAUUAGCUAGUUGGUGGGGUAACGGCUCACCAAGGCGACGAUACAUAGCCGACCUGAGAGGGUGAUCGGCCACACUGGGACUGAGACACGGCCCAGACUCCUACGGGAGGCAGCAGUAGGGAAUCUUCGGCAAUGGACGGAAGUCUGACCGAGCAACGCCGCGUGAGUGAAGAAGGGUGUCGGAUCGUAAAGCUCUGUUGUAAGAGAAGAACGAGUGUGAGAGUGGAAAGUUCACACUGUGACGGUAUCUUACCAGAAAGGGACGGCUAACUACGUG